UUCUUUAUAUUUAUUGAUUGCUCUUGUAAUUUCAGAUGAUGCGUUAGAACUGGAUGGCCAAAUAAAGUGGCAGAUCAAAGAUCAGAUCAUGCAACGAGUGUGCAGGUACAUGGUGGUGCGUUAGACAAGAUAGCCAAAUGGAGAGGCAGAACAAACAGUCAGAAGAGCAUGCAACGAGUGCAGGAACCUGGUGGUACGUUAGAGCAGCUGUCCAGGAGAGGUGCAGGAUAAGAUACUGAACGAGCAAACAGUGAAUGGACUAAACGAACAUUAUGAUUACAAUCAAUUAUGAGAGCAACAGCAGACCGUACAAAUAAACAUGAAGGAUGAAAAGAAAAAGACAGUUUUGUUAUUGGCUAAUUGGAAAGUUGUUUGGCUCACAUGGGCCGAUGGGAUAGGACAUCUGCAUGUGUGUUGAAUCUGAGUCUGCAGAGUCAAGUGACGGUGUGCUGUUUAUAUGGUUAAACUUUGUUUAGUGGUGUAAUUGUUAUUUAUUUAUUUUUUUUUUUGUUUAGUUGAGUGUUGGUGAGGCGUAUAUUAUAUUGUGUUCGUAGAGUUAGUUUGUUGUCGCAUGGAUUGUCAGUAAUAUUUAUAGCGGUAGAAUUUUAUGACUUGUGUUGUGUGUGUAGUGAGUUGGUUGAAUAGUUAUGGUUAGUUUCAGUUAUUGUGUUUGUUGUAAGGUGUGAGUUAAUUGUACUGGCGUAGUCACAUGUAGCCUCGUUAUUAUGACCAACAAAAUGACUAUAUUAUGUGGUUAAAAAUAGCUUUUAAAUUCAUCUGUUUUGUUUUGAACACCGCAUGAUUUUCAAUUAGCAAUAUUUAAUUAGUUGAAGGGGCAGAGUUGCAGUUAAGUACAUGGAUAUUGGAGACUAGUGUGUUUCCUUAGAUUUAGAGUGGUUGUCGACUGUGCUGCCGUAUUUUUCGCGCAUGAGUGUUAUAAGGUCGGAAUAGACAGUCUUUGAUAAAUUAUUUACUUUUCUCUUCAAGGACCUUCGAGAUCUCCACCGAUCUCUGGAGGGCCAGAAGAAUUUCGCAGGGUGAGGCAUUGCUGCUUUGUUGCUGUUGGGUCUGCUCGUCCGCCUGCUGACGUCGAUGCUGGAACUGCUGAUGCUGCCGAUGCUGAUGUUGAUGCUCCCGAUGUUCAGAAGGCUGGUGAGUAUUAUUGGCUGAUAUCAUCACUUUGCUAAUCGUCUUCUUUUCAGGUUGUGUUGGGCUGGCUGCUGAUGUUUGUUUAUUCGACCAGGUACAGGUGACAGGGGCGCAGUCUCGGGUACCGGGCUGCGGAGAACUGCGCUGUACGUUGGCCUGUUGUUGGCUUCUGGAACCAAGGCAGUAGCGUGCAUUGAGCUUGCAGGCUGCUCCCCUGUGGCUGGAGGCGGAGGCAUCUGGAGUCGGCGCGCUGUCUGUUGUUGCUGCUGCAUGUGCUGGAGAUGAUUUUGAAGGUUGUUCAUUUUGGCCUGGUGCAUCUGGCGGGAGUGGAGUAAUUUGCUUCUGGCUUCCUUGAAUGAUGGGCAGCCUUUGUAGCUGCUGAUGUGGCUGCCCUUGCAGUUGGCACACUUGGAUGCCUCAUCUCUUCUUUUGGCAUGUUGUCGUUGGAUGGCAUCCAGCGCACUUCAUGCUCACAAAGGGCGACGGCAGUCGCAGUCUUGGUGUGACCAAAAACUUGGCAUCGGUGGCAUUGGGCAGGAUCCAUUGGCUUUGCCUGCCUUUCAACUUUUAUAACCUGGAGACCCAGAAGCUAAAGCUGCAGGAUCUUGAAGUGUGAGCUAUCAGUUUUCGGCUCAAUUUCCACUUCAAACAGCCAAUUUCAGCGAGCUUAGCGGCGAUCCAUUCGGUAGGAGUGGUGUGGUGCAAAUGCCUGAUGACGACGCGCAGGUCUUUCCUCAUUUGGUGUGAAAACAAAUGUGUUCCAGCUUCAUUUAAGGUGUUGAGAAUGGCGUUGUAUGUACUUAGGCAGCUGCUGAUGAUGCGGACACCGUUGGAUGCAACCUUGACCACGUAGCUGCCUAUGCCUGGCGUAUUUUUAAUUUUUCCAAUAGAUGAAGAAUGGCAUCAACUUUUGGAAUGAAUAAAGGAGGAAUUUCUCCAACAUUACGAUCAGAUUCUCGUUUUUAUUGAAGCUUUGUUGGUGUUCUUGCUGUUGAAUGAUUUGCUGGCUUUUGGUAAGUAUUUGGGAAUCUCUUCUUGCUUGCAUUAUAGAUUUUGCUGCGUCGCUUUUAAAUGCUGGAGUUUUAAUGGAUUCAAACAUGCUUAUGUGGUCGUCACUGGAGUCAAGCUCAACUCGUUUGCGCUUAGAUGGUGUCGAGACAUCGUUAUCAAUACGAGUGGUGGCUGUAGUUGGCAGUUUAGGAGCCACUGGAUCCACUUGUAUGUUUGCAAUUGUGUGUAUCAAGCUGCGCUUUGUAGGAUUGCUGGCCUUCGUCGGUGUGUGUGCUGGUGAUGGCGCGAGAUUUGGCGUCGGUUUUUGUUGUUGUGGUUUAGUAAUGGUUGCCUGUUGGUUGUUUUGUAAGUAACUGGCUUAAUGUUGCCAACGGAGGUGUCGACUGGAGACGCCAUGUUGCUUGGUUUUUGUUGCUGGUUUCCUGUGUUGGCUGUUUGAUGUUUGUAGUUGUAUGUUGCUAAGUUGAUGUUGCUAGCGGGAGGGUUGGCUACAGUAGCCAUGAUGGUUGAUGG
Drosophila sulfurigaster albostrigata is the source of this 2673-nucleotide long non-coding RNA. RefSeq lists it as uncharacterized. The transcript has 5 exons. Lineage: Eukaryota; Metazoa; Arthropoda; Insecta; Diptera; Drosophilidae. The record is from RefSeq and is a predicted model, not a curated record.